UGGGGAAUAUUGCACAAUGGGCGCAAGCCUGAUGCAGCCAUGCCGCGUGUGUGAAGAAGGCCUUCGGGUUGUAAAGCACUUUCAGCGAGGAGGAAGGUGGUGAGCUUAAUACGCUCAUCAAUUGACGUUACUCGCAGAAGAGGCACCGGCUAACUCCGUGCCAGCAGCCGCGGUAAUACGGAGGGUGCAAGCGUUAAUCGGAAUUACUGGGCGUAAAGCGCACGCAGGCGGUUUGUUAAGUCAGAUGUGAAAUCCCCGGGCUCAACCUGGGAACUGCAUUUGAAACUGGCAAGCUAGAGUCUCGUAGAGGGGGGUAGAAUUCCAGGUGUAGCGGUGAAAUGCGUAGAGAUCUGGAGGAAUACCGGUGGCGAAGGCGGCCCCCCUGGACGAAGACUGACGCUCAGGUGCGAAAGCGUGGGGCAGCAAACAGGAUUAGAUACCCUGGUAGUCCAGCGCUGUAAACGAUGUCGAUUUGGAGGUUGUGCCCUUGAGGCGUGGCUUCCGGAGCUAACGCGUUAAAUCGACCGCCUGGGGGAGUACGGCCGCAAGGUUAAAACUCAAAUGAAUUGAC
RNAcentral lists this ribosomal RNA (571 nucleotides) under uncultured bacterium. Its description in RNAcentral is "partial 16S ribosomal RNA". It matches the Rfam family "Bacterial small subunit ribosomal RNA", at positions 355 to 914 of the family's 1533-position model. The record is from RNAcentral.